GCGGGCUGAAGGGCUCCUCAAGUGCCACCAAAGUGGGAGCCCAGGCAGAGGAGGCGUUGAGAGCGAGCGAGAGCUGUGAGGACUGCCAGCACGCUGUCACCUCUCAAUAUGAUCUAAGACUUGGGUGAAAUGUCCCACCAGACGGUGUGAUAUUUAGUAGCCCAGAAAGCUGCCAAGGGGUUGAAUGACACUAUCUGAAGAUAUGAACCAGUUUGCUCUCCAUAGGGAGGAUUUCAUCAACAGGAAAC
RNAcentral lists this long non-coding RNA (248 nucleotides) under Homo sapiens (human). Its description in RNAcentral is "HSALNT0158754". The record is from RNAcentral. Lineage: Eukaryota; Metazoa; Chordata; Mammalia; Primates; Hominidae.